Mus pahari (shrew mouse) is the source of this 551-nucleotide long non-coding RNA. RefSeq lists it as uncharacterized. Lineage: Eukaryota; Metazoa; Chordata; Mammalia; Rodentia; Muridae. The transcript has 5 exons. The record is from RefSeq and is a predicted model, not a curated record.
GGGGGAAAGAGGGGUGCUAUUGGUGUUGUAUCUGGGAGUAAGUUUCCAAGAACGAGAGAGCCUGCACGCUUGCUUGCUAGCUACUCGGCUCGCCCCCCAGCUCACCCCCCCGAGUGGAGAUUGGUCGUCUUGUCGGAUUGCCCAGGCACUUGUUGCCGAAACAGCCAAGGCUCCAGCUCCAGAGGGCAGUGAAGGAGGAAGGCACGGGAGCAAGACUGUCCUGAAGGGGUCACCAGCGGUCUCAGUCCUGGAACAGACCCGGGUCUCUUCUUCCCACCUGCCGAGCAGCAUGUGAGCAGCAUGACUGGCCAGCUGCAGGAGAAGCCCCCAGAGCCAGGACCGCGACACAGCCACCCGCUGCCAAGGUCAAGGUGUGAAGGACUUUCCCCCAGCACGGUGGUGUCUGGUCCAUACCUCUGCCCGCGUGAGGAUGUAGGCACCCCGGCUCUGCUGAUGACCGGUUCAAGCCAACAGGGACCCCUGUCUCCAGCCACCCUCACAGACAUGUCAGCUGUGGAGUAGGGUGGACGCUUUCUCUCAUCUUCUCAGGG